UGAACGCUAGCGAUAGGCUUAACACAUGCAAGUCGAGGGGCAGCAUGGUCUUAGCUUGCUAAGACUGAUGGCGACCGGCGCACGGGUGCGUAACGCGUAUGCAACUUGCCUCACAGAGGGGGAUAACCCGUCGAAAGACGGACUAAUACCGCGUACACUCCAUCUUGGGCAUCCAAGGUAGAGGAAAUGAAAUUCGCUGUGAGAUAGGCAUGCGUCCCAUUAGCUAGUUGGUGAGGUAACGGCUCACCAAGGCGACGAUGGGUAGGGGAACUGAGAGGUUGAACCCCCACACUGGUACUGAGACACGGACCAGACUCCUACGGGAGGCAGCAGUGAGGAAUAUUGGUCAAUGGGCGAGAGCCUGAACCAGCCAAGUCGCGUGAAGGAUGACUGUCUUAUGGAUUGUAAACUUCUUUUAUACGGGAAUAACAAGAGUCACGUGUGACUCCCUGCAUGUACCGUAUGAAUAAGCAUCGGCUAACUCCGUG
Molecule: ribosomal RNA, 488 nt
Filed under: uncultured bacterium
Lineage: Bacteria
Description: partial 16S ribosomal RNA
Rfam family: Bacterial small subunit ribosomal RNA
Source: RNAcentral